RNAcentral lists this ribosomal RNA (244 nucleotides) under uncultured bacterium. RNAcentral describes it as "partial 16S ribosomal RNA". It matches the Rfam family "Bacterial small subunit ribosomal RNA", at positions 108 to 353 of the family's 1533-position model. The record is from RNAcentral.
GAGUAAUGUCUGGGAAACUGCCUGAUGGAGGGGGAUAACUACUGGAAACGGUAGCUAAUACCGCAUAACGUCGCAAGACCAAAGAGGGGGACCUUCGGGCCUCUUGCCAUCAGAUGUGCCCAGAUGGGAUUAGCUAGUAGGUGGGGUAACGGCUCACCUAGGUGACGAUCCCUAGCUGGUCUGAGAGGAUGACCAGCCACACUGGAACUGAGACACGGUCCAGACUCCUACGGGAGGCAGCAUG